UGGGGAAUAUUGCACAAUGGGCGCAAGCCUGAUGCAGCCAUGCCGCGUGUAUGAAGAAGGCCUUCGGGUUGUAAAGUACUUUCAGCGGGGAGGAAGGGAGUAAAGUUAAUACCUUUGCUCAUUGACGUUACCCGCAGAAGAAGCACCGGCUAACUCCGUGCCAGCAGCCGCGGUAAUACGGAGGGUGCAAGCGUUAAUCGGAAUUACUGGGCGUAAAGCGCACGCAGGCGGUUGAUUGAGUCAGAUGUGAAAUCCCCGGGCUUAACCCGGGAAUUGCAUCUGAUACUGGUCAGCUAGAGUCUUGUAGAGGGGGGUAGAAUUCAAUGUGUAGCGGUGAAAUGCGUAGAGAUGUGGAGGAAUACCGGUGGCGAAGGCGGCCCCCUGGACAAAGACUGACGCUCAGGUGCGAAAGCGUGGGGAGCAAACAGG
This 429-nucleotide ribosomal RNA is filed under the name Chloroflexota bacterium. RNAcentral's name for it is "Chloroflexi bacterium partial 16S ribosomal RNA". It matches the Rfam family "Bacterial small subunit ribosomal RNA", at positions 355 to 776 of the family's 1533-position model. The record is from RNAcentral. Lineage: Bacteria; Bacillati; Chloroflexota.